This 497-nucleotide ribosomal RNA is filed under the name uncultured bacterium. Its description in RNAcentral is "partial 16S ribosomal RNA". It matches the Rfam family "Bacterial small subunit ribosomal RNA", at positions 28 to 507 of the family's 1533-position model. The record is from RNAcentral.
GAUGAACGCUGGCGGCGUGCCUAAUACAUGCAAGUCGAGCGAACGGACGAGAAGCUUGCUUCUCUGAUGUUAGCGGCGGACGGGUGAGUAACACGUGGAUAACCUACCUAUAAGACUGGGAUAACUUCGGGAAACCGGAGCUAAUACCGGAUGAUAUUUUGAACCGCAUGGUGCAAAAGUGAAAGACGGUCUUGCUGUCACUUAUAGAUGGAUCCGCGCUGCAUUAGCUAGUUGGUAAGGUAACGGCUUACCAAGGCAACGAUGCAUAGCCGACCUGAGAGGGUGAUCCGCCACACUGGAACUGAGACACGGUCCCGACUCCUACGGGAGGCAGCAGUAGGGAAUCUUCCGCAAAGGGCGAAAGCCUGACGGAGCAACGCCGCGUGAGUGAUGAAGGUCUUCUGAUCGUAAAACUCUGUUAUUAGGGAAGAACAUAUGUGUAAGUAACUGUGCACAUCUUGACGGUACCUAAUCAGAAAGCCACGGCUAACUACAUG